CAGUGCCAACACACAUCAUGCGCACACAAUGCCUUCUCACCGAAGACAGCACCAUACAGCCGGCACCACAGACGCAGUGACUGUAGGCUAGUCCUCGAGACUAGGGAGGAAAAGUGAGAUGAAGCUCAACCUUGAACUGACUGUGAAGAUGUUAAAAAUCCCAUCUUUUUUAUCCCUAAAGCCAAGCAGAGCAUCUCUCCAUCCCAGGAUAGUUACUUCAGCCAUGGUAUAUCCUCCGACCACAGUAUAGACAUGAAGUCAUUUGAAACCAUUUCCCUUUUUAACAUAUGCUGGCUGUAAAGCUAUGCAACAUGCCAAAAAAAUGUCUGCUCCGCCAGUUUGUGGUUUUUUUUCCAAAUUAGCGGAGGCAUAUGGGGAAAAAAAACUACGUUUAGUUCAGGGAAUGAGCCUGUAAAACACAUUAUAUGAAGCUAUAGUGUGUCUUUCUGAAGUUAUACUCUGUCCUCUAAUGGUUUAAUGUGUUUUCACUGGGCACAGUUGGAACAUUUGGAAAAUGGACGAUGUUUUAAACCUCUCCUUGGCAGAGAGUGUUGACAGUUUAGGUGCCAGGGGGAACUGCUUGUGAUCUGACUGUUUUUUAAAGUGAGAUGAUAACGGCUGUGUGCAUUAGCAACAAUGGAAGUGUUACUAAGUUCUGAAAAUCUUGUGAAAAAUACUUUUAAUCUAGAAUGAGAGAAAUGUCCUCUUUCUUUCUAGAAUUUUUCAUAGGGUAUGAAGGUGAACAUCACUGGGCAGAUCGUAAAUCCUUCUCUUCUGCUCUCUCUGUGUCCAAGAUUUAUCAGAUGGCCGGUGCGCAACGUGUUUGCAUUGGCUUCAGGUGCUUUUGGCUUCAGAAUACCUCCUCUGGCUAUUCUGGGUGCAAGACAAACAGUGUGAUUACAUAGACGAGCGGAUACCCACACGAACAUGGUUGCCAUGACAAUGAGGCCAAGCAGGCUUGAGCUCUAGUGGCUACAUAAAACAAUGUUUACUGCAGUGCCAGUAACAGCAUAGCAGUACAGUCUAAAUGAAAGCAGGUGAGAUAAAAUCUGUGAUAAAUGCAGACAGCAGACAUCCAAAUUAUUUGACCAUUAUACGUAAGGUCAGUUCAUAAAAAAAGUAUCAAAUGUAGUUAGUAACAAUGUAAAAGACUUUUAAAAAUAUGAUACUUUUUAAGUGAUUCUGUUUUAGAACUCAUUUUUAAUCCAGUCUGUCGAGUACCAGUGACAGAUUACAUGUGACACAUGUAAUCGUUGUAGACAGCCCCCUAUGUAUGUUAAACACAUGAAAUGCAAAACACAGAUCUUUCUCACUGUAUCUAAAAAUUGUGAUCUGUACUUCCCAGUGAUAACCACAUCAAAGCCCCAAAGUCCAUUUUUUAAAGCAGAGAACAGAACUUUUAGUGUCCUCAAGAGGCAAAAAUAAAAUUCAGUAUCACCCAUUCAUUGCUCUUCUAUUACUUUAAAAAUGAUACGAAUUCUGCAUUUUGGGGGGAAUGCUGCAGAGGAAAUUGCUCAUUUCUGUUUUUUUGACAUUUCCUGCUUCACCCUUGGUAUAAAGCUCAGCUAUCCUCUCUUUCAGCCACCUAAAAUUCGCCCAAGAGGCCUUUUUCUGCCAUUUUUUACCCAUUUUUGAAAAGUGAGAAGGCAAACUGGUGUGUCUCUCUGGAGGCAGAGUCAGCGGAUAAACAGUGAGCCGAGUGCACAGCGUGCAGCUAAAAGGAAGCUUCCACUCCCAGAGUCUUGCUGUUUUCUUCCUUCCUCUUAUGCAUACACAACACCCAAGCACAAUUUAUCCUGGGACUGAUAUGGGUCUCUAGAUAGCUGACAGCAUUUCCUUCUUUUAAGGUUCUUUUAUAUUUUAGUCUCAUGUUUCUGUGUAUUUGUUCACAUCUCAGAAUGUUCAAAGUAAAUGCAAGAGAACUGAAUCAAACCCUACUGGGUGCAUGCUGGGUGCUGACCCAGGUCCAAAACCUGACUUAAGCUAAACAAAAUCUAGAGGAUAAAAAGACAAAGGCCAGAGAGACUGACUGCAGUUCAGCUGAAUCAAUAAAGUUAAGCUUUAUUUUGUUAUGCAAUAUGCCUUCUAGAAAAAAUGUUUGUCUUUUUUUCCUUGUAAAGUCAAAAUGUUCAAAAAUUAACAGAUUAUGUUCAUUGAUGUGGGCGAUAUAUAUCAUGAAGUAUGUAAAUUAUACGAGUGUGUCUAAUAAUUAAAGCUAUUUUAAAU
Long non-coding RNA from Astatotilapia calliptera (eastern happy), 2226 nucleotides. The record is from Ensembl. Lineage: Eukaryota; Metazoa; Chordata; Actinopteri; Cichliformes; Cichlidae.